CACCCUAUCCUUUCUCUCUCUACAAACCAGACACCCACACUAUCUCUCUUUCUAAAAACCCAACUCCACCCAUCUACCACCACCUAUCCACCACUGUCCCUCCUCCCUGCAACCAUCCACCGCCAACCCUAAAACCCCAAACCACCGCCUCAAACCUGAAACAACGACUAAUAUCUUUAAACUCUUCUGUAAUUCUCUAAUCCGAACCCAUAGGAGUCAUCACUCCUGAUUUCUUGUCAAAAAACAACCACAAACACCUUUGUCGCCGCCGCACGUUAACCAGAUAAGAAACUUACACACAAAGGGUUUUUUAAUUUCUAGAUAAAGAAACCCAUUUCUAGAGAGAGAAACAACACCUCACCAGAGCUUUUUCAACAUCCCCUAUGCUCCUCUAUCUCCCCCAUUUGGGUUUUUUUGUUUGUAUCUAAAAACCAAAUUUUUUUCAUUUCUUUCCUUAUGCGGCCAAAGAUCUAGGGUUAUCAUCUUUGAGAUCGAGGUCAAAAAGUUCUUUCAUUGUUUCAUUCAUUCAUUUGGGUGAUCUGUUUGGUUGGGUGUUCAAGAUUCAAAUGACGUCUGCUUUGAUGAAAAUUUCUAAUCAAGUUUGUGCCAUGGCUGAAGGGGGAUCUCAUUAUUGCUCUAAAAAGUCAGAUGAUAUUUGUGGUGAUAUUUGCAAUGAGGUUUAUUGUGAGGGUGUUGAAAGUGGUGGAUGAUUGUGGCAGGUGGGGGUGGUAGGAAGAGAUGAGUAGAGAGAGAAUGAGGAAAGACUGUUUUACCCUCGUGUGCGUAUCACAUGACAAGACUUAACGGACUUUUUUUUAACUGAGUUGGGUGUAAAGGACAAAAUGUGCAACAAAAUUCUCUGUAAAGUGCAAAACUUGUCAACAUUCGUUGAAAAGGAUACCGCCUGAUAUAUGGUAUUAAGAUAAAGGAUAAAACUUGUAAUUUUCCUUUAGAAAAAGUAAGUUUGUACUUUUGAAGAAUCAGCUAAGUCUUUAAAAAUAUCAAAGUAGACAAUUAAGUUUAAGAGAUUCAUUAGCAAAAGUUACUAGAUUGUGGCAAAGCCCUUGUGUUAUUGUAAUGUCUUGCAACAACAGUGGAUUAAGGGUUUAUAACCUUCAAAGUAGGGAUUCCACGAGAUAGACAAAAAUCAGGGUUUGAACAUAAGAUACCCAGGUCAAAUCUGACUGAACCGGUGAUUACAAAGACUACAUAGUAGAUUUCUUGAGAUAUUCCAGCAAAAGCGAUUGCUCAGGCACAUCCCCAUCAGGUUGCUGUUACAAUUAUAAAUCAAUAACGGUCAUAUGCAUGCAUAUAUGUGUGCGAAUAAAUGUUGUUCAAUGUAUACAAGAAAAGAUACCAAGGGCCAUAUACUUGCAGCAAAGUUGAGAAGCUUGGAGUAAGAUAAACUACCAAGGGCCAUAUACUUGCUCUCUUCAGUGUCAUCUUCAACCAGAUGCAAUGACAAUGAUACUCCCGUGCCCAGUUCCAUGUAACAACAUCCCAACCUAAGGGUUUUCAGUUUUAAUGGCCCCUAGGAGAAUGUAUUUCAUUUGUCCAAGUCGUUCGCGUGAAAAAGAAAGGGUCCUGAAAUAUAGGUAACGGGCAAUACUAGUCAGUUAUUAUUUCAAACAAAAAUGAUGCAAUUGUGGAUUUAAAAAUAAGCUUGAUCAUUUCUUGAACA
Long non-coding RNA from Helianthus annuus (common sunflower), 1681 nucleotides. RefSeq lists it as uncharacterized. Lineage: Eukaryota; Viridiplantae; Streptophyta; Magnoliopsida; Asterales; Asteraceae. The record is from RefSeq and is a predicted model, not a curated record. The transcript has 2 exons.